GAUGAACGCUGGCGGCGUGCCUAAUACAUGUAAGUCGAGCGAACGGACGAGAAGCUUGCUUCUCUGAUGUUAGCGGCGGACGGGUGAGUAACACGUGGAUAACCUACCUAUAAGACUGGGAUAACUUCGGGAAACCGGAGCUAAUACCGGAUGAUAUUUUGAACCGCAUGGUUCAAAAGUGAAAGACGGUCUUGCUGUCACUUAUAGAUGGAUCCGCGCUGCAUUAGCUAGUUGGUAAGGUAACGGCUUACCAAGGCAACGAUGCAUAGCCGACCUGAGAGGGUGAUCGGCCACACUGGAACUGAGACACGGUCCAGACUCCUUCGGGAGGCAGCAGUAGGGAAUCUUCCGCAAUGGGCGAAAGCCUGACGGAGCAACGCCGCGUGAGUGAUGAAGGUCUUCGGAUCGUAAAACUCUGUUAUUAGGGAAGAACAUAUGUGUAAGUAACUGUGCACAUCUUGACGGUACCUAAUCAGAAAGCCACGGCUAACUACGUG
Molecule: ribosomal RNA, 497 nt
Filed under: uncultured bacterium
Lineage: Bacteria
Description: partial 16S ribosomal RNA
Rfam family: Bacterial small subunit ribosomal RNA
Source: RNAcentral